GACGAACGCUGGCGGCGUGCCUAACACAUGCAAGUCGAACGAGGUCCAUGAGAGCUUGCUCUCAGAAGACCUAGUGGCGAACGGGUGAGUAACACGUGAGAAACCUGCCUCGGAGUGGGGAAUAACUCGGGGAAACUCGAGCUAAUACCGCAUAUCUUCACAUGAUCGCAUGGUCGAGUGAAGAAAGAAUUUCGCUCUGAGAGGGUCUCGCGGCCUAUCAGCUUGUUGGUGGGGUAACGGCCCACCAAGGCAACGACGGGUAGCUGGUUUGAGAGAACGAUCAGCCACACUGGGACUGAGACACGGCCCAGACUCCUACGGGAGGCAGCAGUGGGGAAUCUUGCGCAAUGGGCGAAAGCCUGACGCAGCAACGCCGCGUGCGGGAUGACGGCCUUCGUGGUUGUAAACCGCUUUCAGCAGGGACGAAAAUGACGGUACCCUGGCAGAAGAAGCCCCGGCUAACUACGUGCCAGCAGCCGCGG
RNAcentral lists this ribosomal RNA (482 nucleotides) under uncultured bacterium. RNAcentral's name for it is "bacterial SSU rRNA". It matches the Rfam family "Bacterial small subunit ribosomal RNA", at positions 28 to 520 of the family's 1533-position model. The record is from RNAcentral.